UACGGAGGGUGCGAGCGUUACCCGGAAUCACUGGGCGUAAAGGGCGUGUAGGCGGGAUGUUAAGUCUGACUUUAAAGGCUGUGGCUCAACCACAGAAAUGGGCUGGAUACUGGCAUUCUAGACAACUGGAGAGGCGAUUGGAAUUACUGGUGUAGCGGUGGAAUGCGUAGAUACCAGUAGGAACGUCAAUGGCGAAGGCAGGUCGCUGGACAGUUUGUGACGCUGAGGCGCGAAAGUGUGGGGAGCAAACCGG
This 253-nucleotide ribosomal RNA is filed under the name uncultured bacterium. RNAcentral's name for it is "partial 16S ribosomal RNA". It matches the Rfam family "Bacterial small subunit ribosomal RNA", at positions 524 to 776 of the family's 1533-position model. The record is from RNAcentral.